CCACCGUAAGGUGAGAGGAAGUGGGGAUGACGUCAAAUCAGCACGGCCCUUAUGUCCAGGGCUACACACGUGUUACAAUGGCCAGUACAAAGGGCAGCUACCGGGUGACCGGAUGCUAAUCUCUAAAGCUGGUCUCAGUUCGGAUCGAAGUCUGCAACCCGACUUCGUGAAGCUGGAUUCGCUAGUAAUCGCGCAUCAGCCAUGGCCGCGGUCGAAUACGUUCCCGGGCCUU
Molecule: ribosomal RNA, 232 nt
Filed under: uncultured Sphingobacteriales bacterium
Lineage: Bacteria; Pseudomonadati; Bacteroidota; Sphingobacteriia; Sphingobacteriales
Description: partial 16S ribosomal RNA
Rfam family: Bacterial small subunit ribosomal RNA
Source: RNAcentral